This 508-nucleotide ribosomal RNA is filed under the name Escherichia coli. RNAcentral's name for it is "partial 23S ribosomal RNA". It matches the Rfam family "Bacterial large subunit ribosomal RNA", at positions 2251 to 2758 of the family's 2925-position model. Lineage: Bacteria; Pseudomonadati; Pseudomonadota; Gammaproteobacteria; Enterobacterales; Enterobacteriaceae. The record is from RNAcentral.
ACAGUGUCUGGUGGGUAGUUUGACUGGGGCGGUCUCCUCCUAAAGAGUAACGGAGGAGCACGAAGGUUGGCUAAUCCUGGUCGGACAUCAGGAGGUUAGUGCAAUGGCAUAAGCCAGCUUGACUGCGAGCGUGACGGCGCGAGCAGGUGCGAAAGCAGGUCAUAGUGAUCCGGUGGUUCUGAAUGGAAGGGCCAUCGCUCAACGGAUAAAAGGUACUCCGGGGAUAACAGGCUGAUACCGCCCAAGAGUUCAUAUCGACGGCGGUGUUUGGCACCUCGAUGUCGGCUCAUCACAUCCUGGGGCUGAAGUAGGUCCCAAGGGUAUGGCUGUUCGCCAUUUAAAGUGGUACGCGAGCUGGGUUUAGAACGUCGUGAGACAGUUCGGUCCCUAUCUGCCGUGGGCGCUGGAGAACUGAGGGGGGCUGCUCCUAGUACGAGAGGACCGGAGUGGACGCAUCACUGGUGUUCGGGUUGUCAUGCCAAUGGCACUGCCCGGUAGCUAAAUGCGG